This 468-nucleotide ribosomal RNA is filed under the name uncultured bacterium. RNAcentral describes it as "partial 16S ribosomal RNA". It matches the Rfam family "Bacterial small subunit ribosomal RNA", at positions 28 to 507 of the family's 1533-position model. The record is from RNAcentral.
GACGAACGCUGGCGGCGUGCUUAACACAUGCAAGUCGAACGGAAAGGCCCUGCUUUUGUGGGGUUCUCGAGUGGCGAACGGGUGAGUAACACGUGAGUAACCUGCCCUUGACUUUGGGAUAACUUCAGGAAACUGGGGCUAAUACCGGAUAGGAGCUCCUGCUGCAUGGUGGGGGUUGGAAAGUUUCGGCGGUUGGGGAUGGACUCGCGGCUUAUCAGCUUGUUGGUGGGGUAGUGGCUUACCAAGGCUUUGAAGGGUAGCCGGCCUGAGAGGGUGACCGGCCACAUUGGGACUGAGAUACGGCCCAGACUCCUACGGGAGGCAGCAGUGGGGAAUAUUGCACAAUGGGCGGAAGCCUGAUGCAGCAACGCCGCGUGCGGGAUGACGGCCUUCGGGUUGUAAACCGCUUUCGCCUGUAACGAAGCGUGAGUGACGGUAAUGGGUAAAGAAGCACCGGCUAACUACGUG